This 229-nucleotide ribosomal RNA is filed under the name uncultured bacterium. Its description in RNAcentral is "partial 16S ribosomal RNA". It matches the Rfam family "Bacterial small subunit ribosomal RNA", at positions 568 to 796 of the family's 1533-position model. The record is from RNAcentral.
UCCGUAGGUGGAUAAUUAAGUCAGAGGUGAAAUCCUGCAGCUCAACUAUAGAAUUGCCUUUGAUACUGGUUAUCUUGAGUCAUUAUGAAGUGGUUAGAAUGUGUAGUGUAGCGGUGAAAUGCAUAGAUAUUACACAGAAUACCGAUUGCGAAGGCAGAUCACUAAUAAUGUACUGACACUGAUGGACGAAAGCGUGGGGAGCGAACAGGAUUAGAUACCCUGGUAGUCC